This 253-nucleotide ribosomal RNA is filed under the name uncultured bacterium. Its description in RNAcentral is "partial 16S ribosomal RNA". It matches the Rfam family "Bacterial small subunit ribosomal RNA", at positions 524 to 776 of the family's 1533-position model. The record is from RNAcentral.
GACAGAGGUGCCGAGCGUUAGGCGGAAUCACUGGGCUUAAAGCGUGUGUAGGCGGAUUGUUAAGUACCUUGUGAAAUCCCACGGCUUAACCGUGGAACUGCUUGGUAUACUGUCGGGCUCGAGUGCGGAAGAGGCGAGUGGAAUUCCUGGUGUAGCGGUGAAAUGCGCAGAUAUCAGGAGGAACACCAAUUGCGAAGGCAGCUCGCUGGGACGUUACUGACGCUGAGACGCGAAAGCGUGGGGAGCAAACAGG